UACGGGGGGGGCAAGCGUUGUUCGGAAUUACUGGGCGUAAAGGGCUCGUAGGCGGCCAACUAAGUCAGACGUGAAAUCCCUCGGCUUAACCGGGGAACUGCGUCUGAUACUGGAUGGCUUGAGAUUGGGAGAGGGAUGCGGAAUUCCAGGUGUAGCGGUGAAAUGCGUAGAUAUCUGGAGGAACACCGGUGGCGAAGGCGGCAUCCUGGACCAACACUGACGCUGAGUGAGCGAAAGCCAGGGGAGCAAACAGG
Molecule: ribosomal RNA, 254 nt
Filed under: uncultured bacterium
Lineage: Bacteria
Description: partial 16S ribosomal RNA
Rfam family: Bacterial small subunit ribosomal RNA
Source: RNAcentral